UCCUCGAUAGCGCAGUUGGUAAUGCAUUGGAGUUUCAAUCUAAAGGUCAGUGGUUCAAAUCCUUGUGAAGGUA
Non-coding RNA from Nematostella vectensis (starlet sea anemone), 73 nucleotides. Lineage: Eukaryota; Metazoa; Cnidaria; Anthozoa; Actiniaria; Edwardsiidae. The record is from Rfam.